Long non-coding RNA from Alligator mississippiensis (American alligator), 1115 nucleotides. RefSeq lists it as uncharacterized. Lineage: Eukaryota; Metazoa; Chordata; Crocodylia; Alligatoridae. The record is from RefSeq and is a predicted model, not a curated record. The transcript has 3 exons.
CCUAUUUAUUUGGCUAUACACAGUUCAUCGAUCAGUCAACUUGGCAAGUUAAAGCUCUUUCCUUCAAGUAUGCAGGCAUUGCUUAAUUUUAUCUAUGGUAUACUAUUAAUGGGACUACAUUUAAGUCAAGGUACAUGAAGUAUAAGCAUAUGUGUGGCAGCAAGACAUGAGCUUCCAAGGCAGUGAGUGGCCUGGAAGCAUCAGGAGACCCACACCCCUAAGACUUACCAGUAGGCACAUCAGUGGCACAGUCUGGGGAAAUCCCAACACUGCUCCCACCGCACUCUAUCAGUGCAUGCUGGCUCUGGCUGGCAGGGUGCAUGCCAGAAUAUAUCAUAAUGGUACACCCAGCCUCAAUGGAAAAGGCCCCAGAGGAAGGAGCAUGGUGGGGAAGAAGCUGGCUCCCAUUGCAACUUGCCCUGGCAAGUUGGAACAACUCCAGUUCCCACACAUAAAGACUUGGAGGAAUCUUUAAAAUGGAUGAGAGUCCCAGACCUGCUCCUGAGCCAGUCAAGCAUUGAAGAUUCCUCGCCGUCCUGUGGAAGGAAGGAAGACAACUAACUGUCUCCAGAGAAGCUCAUUUCAUCCUCUCGGAUUUGACCCGCUGGCUGCCUCGUCAUCACUUUGUCUCCAACUUUUCUCAGCUCCAGUUGUUACCCUGCCAUCACUGCCACCAUUACCACCAUUGAAAAAAACACAGACCACAUAGGAAGCCUGAUAAUGUUGCCCAGACAGAUAGAAUCUUCAGGUCCAUCAGUAGCUGCAUGGUGUCAUUGCAGGAGAUACCAGGACAGGCAUAUCAAGCUGUGGCUAAGUGUCAACCGGGUAAUGCAGCAGGAGGCAUUCACAGGAAAGUGAGAGAGAAGGGCAGCUCAUCUCAGAAACAUAGAAAACCAGUAUUGCUUAUGUUCAGUGAUAGUAGCUGACUAUUGCUGAUUAUUGAUCUUGUUUGUUAAUUUAAGCAUAAACAAUGUCUAUGGUUACUGUGUGCUGGUAAAAAAGGUCUUGUAAUGAAACUCGCUGUUUAUUGCCUGUGGUUGAAAAAGUUGAAGAGUACAGCUUCUUGAUAAUGGUUACCUUGGUUAAUAAAUCAGCAAAGGUUAAUUAUGUAAAAA